Non-coding RNA from Pelodiscus sinensis (Chinese soft-shelled turtle), 654 nucleotides. The record is from RefSeq and is a predicted model, not a curated record. NCBI's taxonomy places the organism in Eukaryota, Metazoa, Chordata, Testudines, Trionychidae.
GCCGGCCCGAGGAGGAGGAGGAUCCUAGGACCCAGUGGAAAGGCUCACCAACCAGGGCCUAGAGAUGGUGAAGGUCUGUGAUACCUACAUUAUUAUCUGUGCACCUUCAGAGGACUGAUCAUUUUCUUCCUGUGAUCUUUGCUCUCUUCUUAUGAACAAUGUGGCUGCUGACUACAAUCCUUAUCUUCCCAAUCAGUUCCAAUACCUACGCUGGGCAUGCUAGCAGCUCAAGCAAAGCCUCAGCCAGAUUUAGACACCUGUACUUUGAGCAGUAGCACCUUAAACUUCAAACUUAGUCCCACUGAGUCUGUGCAUGGAAUAAGGUGUUAUUGAGGGGGAAGAGGAGAUGUCAGAAUCCAACCCCCAUGAGUUUCAUAUUACAGGUGGAAUAUGGAAGAAACAACAAAUCUUCUUCAGCAUUCAGAUCAGAGAUGGGCUGAUACAAAGCUUGGACUGUGAACAUACCUGAACUAGAUCUAUGUGUGGUUUGAAUUUUGUGACUUCCUAAUUCAUAUGCAAAUUUGUCACUAUCAAAAUGGGUCUGAUGAAAAACUGUGAAAAACACAGAGAUUAACAUCUUUUGAGGAUGAAUGACUGCAGCAUGGCACUGCAGUAUCCAUAGACUCCAAUGAAAACUUACAUGUACAGGCAGUC